Molecule: transfer RNA, 101 nt
Filed under: Stemphylium lycopersici
Lineage: Eukaryota; Fungi; Ascomycota; Dothideomycetes; Pleosporales; Pleosporaceae
Rfam family: tRNA
About the family: Transfer RNA (tRNA) molecules are approximately 80 nucleotides in length. Their secondary structure includes four short double-helical elements and three loops (D, anti-codon, and T loops). Further hydrogen bonds mediate the characteristic L-shaped molecular structure. tRNAs have two regions of fundamental functional importance: the anti-codon, which is responsible for specific mRNA codon recognition, and the 3' end, to which the tRNAs corresponding amino acid is attached (by aminoacyl-tRNA synthetases). tRNAs cope with the degeneracy of the genetic code in two manners: having more than one tRNA (with a specific anti-codon) for a particular amino acid; and 'wobble' base-pairing, i.e. permitting non-standard base-pairing at the 3rd anti-codon position.
Source: Rfam by way of RNAcentral
UCCGAUAUGGUCUAGUGGCUAGGAUUUGCCGCUCUCAUUCAGCAGAGUCAGUUCACUGUUCAAGUGCCGGCAAGGCCCGGGUUCGAUUCCCGGUGUCGGAA